AAAAGUUUUGGUCCUAAACUUUCUAUUACUUAUGAUUAGACUUACACAUGCAAGCAUCUACGUUCCAGUGAGUACGCCCAUUCAACGAUACUUAAAAACGGAGCUGGUAUCAGGCACACUAUUAAAAGUAGCCCAUAACACCUCGCAAUGCCACCCCCCCACGGGACCCAGCAGUGAUAAACAUUAAGCUAUGAGCGACAGCUUGACUUAGUCAAAUCCCUACAAGCCGGUAAACUUCGUGCCAGCCACCGCGGUUAUACGAAGGGCCAGAAACAAUAGACUUCGGCGUAAAACAUGGCUAGAGACCAACAAACGAGAUUAAAAACCAAGAAUAAAUGUAAAACUUAUAGUCUAUAAGAAAACCAAACAAUCUCAAUAAACCUUAACCCAUGAAAGCUAAGAAACAAACUAGGAUUAGAUACCCUACUAUGCUUAGCCAUUAACCCUAAUAUAUUUACCACAAAUAUAUUCGCCAGGGAAUUACUAGUGAAAAACUUAAAACUCUAAGGACUUGACGGUGCCCCACAUCAACCUAGAGGAGCCUGUCCUAUAAUCGACACCCCACGCUGUACCUUACCCCCUCUCGCAAUUCAGCCUAUAUACCGCCGUCGUCAGCCCACCUCAUGAGAGAUCAAAAGUGGACAAAAUUGUAACCACAAAAACGUCAGGUCAAGGUGUAGCUAAUGAGGCGGAAAAAGAUGGGCUACAUUCUCCAAAAUAGAGGACACGCACGGCAUAAUGAAACUUAUACCAUAAGGCGGAUUUAGUAGUAAAUAAAGAAAGAGAACUUAAUUGAACCCUGCUCUGGGACGCGUACACACCGCCCGUCACCCUCAUCUCAUAUUAGUUUCACCAAACUAAAUAAACCGACAAAUAAUCCUAGAUGAGGCAAGUCGUAACAUGGUAAGCGUACUGGAAAGUGCGCUUGGAAUA
This 933-nucleotide non-coding RNA is filed under the name Goniurosaurus liboensis. Its description in RNAcentral is "12S ribosomal RNA". It matches the Rfam family "Bacterial small subunit ribosomal RNA". Lineage: Eukaryota; Metazoa; Chordata; Lepidosauria; Squamata; Eublepharidae. The record is from RNAcentral.